AUACCUUUCUCGGUCUUUUGGCUAAGAUCGAGUGUAGUAUUUGUUUUUAUCAGUUUAAUAGUUGAUAAGUGACUCAUCGGUUCACGUGAUAUUAAAUUAAUUUUUUGAGGGGGAGAGGUCCAUUACAGUAGUUUGCUAUUGGGGUCUUUUGAGCGUUGUUUAGGCAUUGCACUAUUAUCUUGGCAUGGUGCACCCCAC
Rhododendron vialii is the source of this 198-nucleotide small nuclear RNA. RefSeq annotates it as U2 spliceosomal RNA. The record is from RefSeq and is a predicted model, not a curated record. Lineage: Eukaryota; Viridiplantae; Streptophyta; Magnoliopsida; Ericales; Ericaceae. The transcript has a single exon.